Long non-coding RNA from Astatotilapia calliptera (eastern happy), 1105 nucleotides. The record is from Ensembl. Lineage: Eukaryota; Metazoa; Chordata; Actinopteri; Cichliformes; Cichlidae.
CUCCAGUUUAGCAGUUUUUAAGGGGCUCUUGACCUCCCUGUUGACCUCCUUUUUAUCCAGAGCAGAGCCGGAAAAGAAAAUCCUCUUUUUUUUAAAUUAAGGAUUUCCUUGAGCUCCUUGGUGAUCCAGGGUAUGUUGUUGGGGUAGAUGGAGACUGUUUUUGAGGAGAUAAUGAUAACUUGAAAAUUAAUGAAAAGACCAGAGGAAAAGUGGUCGGGACAGAUCGGCUGAAAACGCUGCCCAGAGCGUCGCUGAAGAAGAAGAAGAAAGCUGAAUGACGUUGACACUUUGAAGCAAAUUGUUUCAACCUUUAUUAAACAUAGCUUGCAAGAGAUAAAUAUUACAAAGUUAUUUCCUCCAAAAUUAGCUUAUUUUUUUUCAAUCAAUGCAUAAUUGUCAAUCAACUGGCAGUAUUCAAACAGCAUUAUUUUCUUGACGUUUUUUUUGAAGACCGUUAAAUAUCAAGUAUGUGCAAAAGGUCAGGAUUGAUGCAAGAAUCCCAAACAUUUUGCACAUUUGUUACACAAUAAUACACAGUGAUCACAAAACGAAAUGACAAGCUUCACAAUAUUCAUGGCUUUUUGUUUGCUUUUCUACACAAUGUACAACCAUUUAAUUUCUUUUUUCAGUAACGGAGGAAAAAUGCAUAUGUACAAUAAGUCAUUAUCACUUAAAACCUAGCAAAUAUUGUGUCAUUUAUUUCAUAGUCAAUAUUUUUUUUAACUGCGACAGAAAGAAAACAAACAAAUCCUUAGAAUAAAGAAUGACUUAAAUCUAAAAAGUGAUGUUGAAAAGAACAAAGUUCAAAUACAAAGAUGUAUAAAUGCAUCUGCAAAAAGAGAGACGGGAGCUUAUUUUGUCAUUUAAACUUUAGCUUUGCAGCUAAAGCAGAUCGGACCAGGAGUUGGAGCAAAAAUAGAUUUCAGGUAUCGUUUCGCUACAUCCAAUUUCAAACGUUGUCUCCCAUUCAGCUCAGUCUUUAUACACAUAGUGCCAGCUCACAGCAGGGAUCUUGGAUCGCUCUCUGUGGACUGUUUGUCACUGGAUCAUUCUGUAGUAGUGACAGGCAGGUCUGGAUUACUUGGACACAACCAGAACGCACAAC